AAGUCGAACGAGAUUUUCGGAUCUAGUGGCGCACGGGUGAGUAACGCGUGGGAACCUACCUUUUAGCACGGGAUAACGUUUGGAAACGAACGCUAAUACCGUAUACGCCCUCCGGGGGAAAGGUCAGCCGCUGAAAGAGGGGCCCGCGUCUGAUUAGCUUGUUGGUAAGGUAAUGGCUUACCAAGGCUACGAUCAGUAGCUGGUCUGAGAGGAUGAUCAGCCACACUGGGACUGAGACACGGCCCAGACUCCUACGGGAGGCAGCAGUGGGGAAUAUUGGACAAUGGAGGCAACUCUGAUCCAGCAAUGCCGCGUGUGUGAUGAAGGCCCUAGGGUUGUAAAGCACUUUCAACGGUGAAGAUGAUGACGGUAGCCGUAGAAGAAGCCCCGGCUAACUUCGUGCCAGCAGCCGCGGUAAUACGAAGGGGGGGCGAGCGUUAUUCGGAAUUAUUGGGCGUAAAGGGCUCGCAGGCUGCUUGAACAGUUAGACGUGAAAUCCCCGGGC
This 505-nucleotide ribosomal RNA is filed under the name uncultured marine bacterium. RNAcentral's name for it is "bacterial SSU rRNA". It matches the Rfam family "Bacterial small subunit ribosomal RNA", at positions 59 to 608 of the family's 1533-position model. The record is from RNAcentral.